UUUCCGUAGGUGAACCUGCGGAAGGAUCAUUACAGUAGUCACCCAGGUUGCCGCAAGGCCUCCUGGGUAACCUACCACCCUUUGUUUAUUACACUUUGUUGCUUCGGCAAGCCUGCCCUCGGGCUGCUGGCUCCGGCCGGCGAGCGCUUGCCAGAGGACCUAAACUCUGUUUGUCUAUACUGUCUGAGUACUAUAUAAUAGUUAAAACUUUCAACAACGGAUCUCUUGGUUCUG
This 234-nucleotide unclassified non-coding RNA is filed under the name plant metagenome. RNAcentral describes it as "partial contains small subunit ribosomal RNA, internal transcribed spacer 1, and 5.8S ribosomal RNA". The record is from RNAcentral.